RNAcentral lists this ribosomal RNA (352 nucleotides) under Hynobius formosanus (Formosan salamander). RNAcentral's name for it is "partial 16S ribosomal RNA". The record is from RNAcentral. Lineage: Eukaryota; Metazoa; Chordata; Amphibia; Caudata; Hynobiidae.
GUAAUAAAUUUAGCCUACCCACCUUAAUAAAUUAACUUCUUUUAAUUAACUAAAUAAAACAUUUAUAUCAUUUUAGUAUAGGAGAUAAAAAAACUCAUUAGCGCAAUAUAAAUAGUACUGUAAAGGAAAAAUGAAAUAGAAAUUAAAUAAACCAUAAAAACAAUAAAAAGCAAAGAUUUAACCUUGUACCUUUUGCAUAAUGGUCUAGUAAGUUUAACCUAACACAAAGAACUUAAGUUAGAUACCCCGAAACUAAACGAGCUACUCCGAAGCAGCAAAACGAGCCAACCCUUCUCUGUGGCAAAAGAGUGGGAUGACUUCCUAGUAGUGGUGAUAAACCUAACGAGCUUAG